AUUUAAUAAAAAUCCAAUUAAAUAAAUUAUAAAUAAAAACUUCUAAUUUUUUUAAUUAAAAAAUAAUUUUAUUAAAUU
RNAcentral lists this transfer RNA (78 nucleotides) under Matsucoccus matsumurae. Its description in RNAcentral is "tRNA-Ser". Lineage: Eukaryota; Metazoa; Arthropoda; Insecta; Hemiptera; Margarodidae. The record is from RNAcentral.